This 693-nucleotide ribosomal RNA is filed under the name gamma proteobacterium CB9(2010). RNAcentral describes it as "bacterial SSU rRNA". It matches the Rfam family "Bacterial small subunit ribosomal RNA", at positions 67 to 749 of the family's 1533-position model. Lineage: Bacteria; Pseudomonadati; Pseudomonadota; Gammaproteobacteria. The record is from RNAcentral.
GCUCAAGCUCACAACAGCUCGCGGUCCCCAUGACGUUUGGUCCAGGCUGAGUAAUGUCUGGGAAACUGCCUGAUGGAGGGGGAUAACUACUGGAAACGGUAGCUAAUACCGCAUAACGUCUUCGGACCAAAGUGGGGGACCUUCGGGCCUCACACCAUCGGAUGUGCCCAGAUGGGAUUAGCUAGUAGGUGGGGUAAUGGCUCACCUAGGCGACGAUCCCUAGCUGGUCUGAGAGGAUGACCAGCCACACUGGAACUGAGACACGGUCCAGACUCCUACGGGAGGCAGCAGUGGGGAAUAUUGCACAAUGGGCGCAAGCCUGAUGCAGCCAUGCCGCGUGUAUGAAGAAGGCCUUCGGGUUGUAAAGUACUUUCAGCGGGGAGGAAGGCGAUAAGGUUAAUAACCUUGUCGAUUGACGUUACCCGCAGAAGAAGCACCGGCUAACUCCGUGCCAGCAGCCGCGGUAAUACGGAGGGUGCAAGCGUUAAUCGGAAUUACUGGGCGUAAAGCGCACGCAGGCGGUCUGUCAAGUCAGAUGUGAAAUCCCCGGGCUUAACCUGGGAACUGCAUUUGAAACUGGCAGGCUAGAGUCUUGUAGAGGGGGGUAGAAUUCCAGGUGUAGCGGUGAAAUGCGUAGAGAUCUGGAGGAAUACCGGUGGCGAAGGCGGCCCCCUGGACAAAGACUGACGCUCA